Molecule: ribosomal RNA, 253 nt
Filed under: uncultured bacterium
Lineage: Bacteria
Description: partial 16S ribosomal RNA
Rfam family: Bacterial small subunit ribosomal RNA
Source: RNAcentral
UACGGAGGGGGCUAGCGUUGUUCGGAAUUACUGGGCGUAAAGCGCACGUAGGCGGCUUUAUAAGUUAGAGGUGAAAGCCCGGGGCUCAACUCCGGAAUUGCCUUUAAGACUGCAUCGCUAGAAUUGUGGAGAGGUAAGUGGAAUUCCGAGUGUAGAGGUGAAAUUCGUAGAUAUUCGGAAGAACACCAGUGGCGAAGGCGACUUACUGGACACAUAUUGACGCUGAGGUGCGAAAGCGUGGGGAGCAAACAGG